Molecule: ribosomal RNA, 180 nt
Filed under: Gephyrocapsa oceanica
Lineage: Eukaryota; Haptophyta; Isochrysidales; Noelaerhabdaceae
Description: partial Bacterial large subunit ribosomal RNA
Source: RNAcentral
GCGUCGUGCGACAGCUCGGUCCCAUCUCCGGUCAUCUCCGGUGUAGGCGUCAGCGUACUCAGAGGAGAUCUUCUCAGUACGAGAGGAGCGGGAGAGGUUGGCCUCUGGUGUGGCAGCUGUCGUGCCAACGGCAGAGGGAUGGGUACCCUGACGGUGGGGUCCUCACCACUGAAGGCAUCU